Molecule: long non-coding RNA, 1117 nt
Filed under: Androctonus crassicauda
Lineage: Eukaryota; Metazoa; Arthropoda; Arachnida; Scorpiones; Buthidae
Source: RNAcentral
AUUUGCAUCCUUUGAUGUCAAUAGCUGAUCCGGGCGCGUCCACUGUAAACCACUGAUCCAACCAAUCUCGUAGUUCGCUGUACAAUAAUUUGGAAUUCUGACCGUAAAAACGCAUGAUGGUGUAUGAUGAUGUACUGAUGUCAAGCGUUUCAGUAUGCAAAUUUUUUUUUUGCCUCGUGGAGUGCCGUUGAUAGUUGAAAUGUGUUUAUUAUUGUUUUGGCUUGGAGAGUGUGAUGGUGUAGUGGUGUUGUGCGUGUGUCAUUGUGCUGCUGUAUGUCGGUUCAAGACUCGGUACGCAUUGGAAAUUUUUUCAAAGGCAUGGGUAGUGUUUGGUAGAUUUAAGUUGCUAAUAAGCGAUUGUUUAUGGUUGUUAGCUUGAAUGUCAGGAUGUGCGGCACAUGGUCUAUUGUGGCGGUUCGUGUAUGGUAAGUGGUGGCCGAUGUUCGAGGGAUGAUGUCUGGGGAUUGCGAGUUGUUAAUACUGCGCGAAGGUUGCGCGUCGCCGGGUCGCCAGUGGGAGGACAGGUAAUCUAGGAUUUAGCCGUUUGUUUUAUUAUUUUUCCAGUAAAACUUGUUAACACUUUGCAUUUUUGUGGAUUUAAUAAAUUUUUUCUAUUACUUAAAUUUGUUUUUUAGAAUUUCAACAUAUAUAUAUUCAAUAUAUAGUUUAGUGUUAAAUAUUUAUUCAAUUAAUUAAUAAGUCAAUUUAAUUAAUUUAUAGUUGAAGAUGUUAGAAUGAGAUUACAAAAAUACUAACUUAUUUUUGUAAUCUCAUUCUAACACCUUUUCAAUAACCCAUAAAGUUCCCAGUUUGUGUUUGUGUGUAGGAGGUUUUUACUGUUGGAUUAUUGUUUUGGAAUUUAUUUUUCUAACACUUCAGAAGACCUGGCCAAGUGAGAUUCUGGAAAUAUUGUAGUCUUUCCAUUAAGCUUAAUGUUGGCUAAUUUCAAAAAUUUCAGACUUUGCAAUAUGAUUAAUUACCUAUGGUUUAUAAAAUUGUCAAAAUGAAGAUUUUUUCAGUUUUUAUUCAAACAUUACAAUUUUCAUUAUAGUUAUAUAUAAAAACUAGAUAAAAAUUCUAUACAUAAGAAAAAUAUUUAAAUUGUGAGAAAGAUGUG